AGAGUUUGAUCAUGGCUCAGGACGAACGCUGGCGGCGUGCUUAAAACAUGCAAGUCGAACGGGGUCCAUGGAGUGGCAACACUCCGGAAGACCUAGUGGCGAACGGGUGCGUAACACGUGAGGAACCUGCCCCGGAGACCGGGAUAACCCUCCGAAAGGAGAGCUAAUACCGGAUGUGCUCAUCGGAUCGCCUGGUCUGAUGAGGAAAUGGAUUCCGCUCCGGGAUGGCCUCGCGGCCUAUCAGCUUGUUGGUGGGGUAACGGCCUACCAAGGCGACGACGGGUAGCUGGUCUGAGAGGACGAUCAGCCACACUGGGACUGAGACACGGCCCAGACUCCUACGGGAGGCAGCAGUUAGGAAUCUUGCGCAAUGGGCGAAAGCCUGACGCAGCAACGCCGCGUGGGGGAUGAAGGCUCUCGGGUUGUAAACCCCUUUCAGCAGGGACGAUUGUGACGGUACCUGCAGAAGAAGGACCGGCCAACUACGUGCCAGCAGCCGCGGUAAUACGUAGGGUCCGAGCGUUGUCCGGGUUCAUUGGGCGUAAAGAGCUCGUAGGCGGCUCAGUAAGUCGGAUGUGAAAACUCAGGGCUCAACCCGGAGACGCCAUCCGAUACUGCUGUGGCUUGAGUCUGGUAGGGGAACACGGAAUACCUGGUGUAGCGGUGAAAUGCGCAGAUAUCAGUGGAACACCGAUGGCGAAAGCAGUGUUCUGGGCCAGUGCUGACGCUGAGGAGCGAAAGCGUGGGGAGCAAACAGGAUUAGAUACCCUGGUAGUCCACGCCGUAAACGUUGGGCACUAGUGUGGGUCCUCAUCAACGGGAUCCGUGCCGUAGCUACGCAUUAGUGCCCCGCCUGGGGAGUACGCCGCAGGCUAAACUCAAGGAAUUGACGGGGCCCGCACAGCGGCGGAGCAUGUUGCUUA
RNAcentral lists this ribosomal RNA (923 nucleotides) under uncultured bacterium. RNAcentral describes it as "bacterial SSU rRNA". It matches the Rfam family "Bacterial small subunit ribosomal RNA", at positions 8 to 948 of the family's 1533-position model. The record is from RNAcentral.